AUUUCCUGUUUUUUAGUAGUAGAAUGUGUUAUGCAGUUUUUUGUAUGUAAUAGAUGUAUGAAGUACAAAAAAACACAUUUUACUCCAAAUGGAGCUUUCUC
Long non-coding RNA from Etheostoma spectabile (orangethroat darter), 101 nucleotides. RefSeq lists it as uncharacterized. The record is from RefSeq and is a predicted model, not a curated record. Lineage: Eukaryota; Metazoa; Chordata; Actinopteri; Perciformes; Percidae. The transcript has 3 exons.